Molecule: ribosomal RNA, 922 nt
Filed under: uncultured bacterium
Lineage: Bacteria
Description: bacterial SSU rRNA
Rfam family: Bacterial small subunit ribosomal RNA
Source: RNAcentral
UUUGAUUCUGGCUCAGAAUCAACGCUGGCGGCGUGCCUAACACAUGCAAGUCGAACGAGAAAGUGGGGGCAACCCUGCGAGUACAGUGGCAGACGGGUGAGUAACACGUGAACAACCUACCCUUGAGUGGGGAAUAACACCGCGAAAGCGGUGCUAAUACCGCAUAAAAUCUUCGGGUCGCAUGACGUGGAGAUCAAAAGCGCAAGUUGCUUGAGGAGGGGUUCGCGGCUGAUUAGCUAGUUGGUGAGGUAACGGCCCACCAAGGCAACGAUCAGUAGCCGGCCUGAGAGGGCGAACGGCCACACUGGAACUGGGACACGGUCCAGACUCCUACGGGAGGCAGCAGUGGGGAAUUUUGCGCAAUGGGCGAAAGCCUGACGCAGCAACGCCGCGUGGAGGAUGAAGGCCUUCGGGUCGUAAACUCCUGUCGAUGGGGACGAAGUUCUCGCAAGAGGAUUGACUGUACCCGUUGAGGAAGCCACGGCUAACUCCGUGCCAGCAGCCGCGGUAAUACGGGGGUGGCAAGCGUUGUUCGGAAUUACUGGGCGUAAAGGGCGCGUAGGCGGCAUAACAAGUCAGAUGUGAAAGCCCCGAGCUCAACUCGGGAACUGCAUCUGAAACUGUAUUGCUUGAGUUCUGGAGGGGGUAGUGGAAUUCCCAGUGUAGCGGUGAAAUGCGUAGAUAUUGGGAGGAACACCUGCGGCGAAGGCGGCUACCUGGACAGUGACUGACGCUGAGGCGCGAAAGCUAGGGGAGCGAACGGGAUUAGAUACCCCGGUAGUCCUAGCCGUAAACGAUGGGCACUUGGUGUUGGGGGUAUUGAGUCCCUCGGUGCCGGAGCUAACGCGAUAAGUGCCCCGCCUGGGGAGUACGGUCGCAAGACUGAAACUCAAAGGAAUUGACGGGGGCCCGCACAGCGGUG